AACGGGGGGCUGGCGAUAUUCAUCAUAGACUGGGCGUACAGGGAUCGUAGGUGGGUUUACUUAAUUAAAGGUAAAAGGCUAAAAGUUAUUUAUGCAUGUUCUUUAAUAUUGGGUAAUGCUUGAGUAUUGAGGAGGUAGGCGGUAUUCUUGGUGGAGAAGGUAACAUGCUGGGAUAUCAAUGAAGACUAACAGAGGCCAAAGGCGGCUUGCCACUUUUAUACUAACACUGAGGAUCUAAAGUAUGGGCGCAAACAGG
This 256-nucleotide ribosomal RNA is filed under the name uncultured bacterium. RNAcentral's name for it is "partial 16S ribosomal RNA". It matches the Rfam family "Bacterial small subunit ribosomal RNA", at positions 526 to 776 of the family's 1533-position model. The record is from RNAcentral.